This 497-nucleotide ribosomal RNA is filed under the name uncultured bacterium. Its description in RNAcentral is "partial 16S ribosomal RNA". It matches the Rfam family "Bacterial small subunit ribosomal RNA", at positions 28 to 507 of the family's 1533-position model. The record is from RNAcentral.
GAUGAACGCUGGCGGCGUGCCUAAUACAUGCAAGUCGAGCGAACGGACGAGAAGCUUGCUUCUCUGAUGUUAGCGGCGGACGGGUGAGUAACACGUGGAUAACCUACCUAUAAGACUGGGAUAACUUCGGGAAACCGGAGCUAAUACCGGAUAAUAUUUUGAACCGCAUGGUUCAAAAGUGAAAGACGGUCUUGCUGUCACUUAUAGAUGGAUCCGCGCUGCAUUAGCUAGUUGGUAAGGUAACGGCUUACCAAGGCAACGAUGCAUAGCCGACCUGAGAGGGUGAUCGGCCACACCGGAACGGGGACGCGGUCCAGACUCCUACGGGAGGCAGCAGUAGGGAAUCUUCCGCAAUGGGCGAAAGCCUGACGGAGCAACGCCGCGUGAGUGAUGAAGGUCUUCGGAUCGUAAAACUCUGUUAUUAGGGAAGAACAUAUGUGUAAGUAACUGUGCACAUCUUGACGGUACCUAAUCAGAAAGCCACGGCUAACUACGUG